AUUGAACGCUGGCGGCAGGCCUAACACAUGCAAGUCGAGCGGAUGAAGGGAGCUUGCUCCUGGAUUCAGCGGCGGACGGGCGAGUAAUGCCUAGGAAUCUGCCUGGUAGUGGGGGAUAACGUCCGGAAACGGGCGCUAAUACCGCAUACGUCCUGAGGGAGAAAGUGGGGGAUCUUCGGACCUCACGCUAUCAGAUGAGCCUAGGUCGGAUUAGCUAGUUGGUGGGGUAAAGGCCUACCAAGGCGACGAUCCGUAACUGGUCUGAGAGGAUGAUCAGUCACACUGGAACUGAGACACGGUCCAGACUCCUACGGGAGGCAGCAGUGGGGAAUAUUGGACAAUGGGCGAAAGCCUGAUCCAGCCAUGCCGCGUGUGUGAAGAAGGUCUUCGGAUUGUAAAGCACUUUAAGUUGGGAGGAAGGGCAGUAAGUUAAUACCUUGCUGUUUUGACGUUACCAACAGAAGAAGCACCGGCUAACUUCGUG
Molecule: ribosomal RNA, 484 nt
Filed under: uncultured bacterium
Lineage: Bacteria
Description: partial 16S ribosomal RNA
Rfam family: Bacterial small subunit ribosomal RNA
Source: RNAcentral